AUUGAACGCUGGCGGCAGGCUUAACACAUGCAAGUCGAACGAGUGGCGGACGGGUGAGUAAUGCUUGGGAAUCUCGCUUAUGGAGGGGGAUAACUACGGAAAACUGUAGAUAAUACCGCGUACCAUCGGAUGCACCCAAGUGGGGUUAGGUAGUUGGUGAGGUAAAGGCUCACCAAGCCGCCGAUCUCUAGCUGGUCUGAGAGGAUGACGAGCCACACGGGGACGGGGACACGGCCCAGACUCCUACGGGAGGCAGCAGUGGGGAAUAUUGCGCAAUGGGGGCAACCUGACGCAGCCAUGCCGCGUGAAUGAAGAAGGCCUUCGGGUUGUAAAGUUCUUUAGGUAGCGAGGCGUUAACUACAGAAGAAGCACCGGCUAACUCCGUGCCAGCAGCCGCGGUAAUAC
Molecule: ribosomal RNA, 405 nt
Filed under: uncultured bacterium
Lineage: Bacteria
Description: partial 16S ribosomal RNA
Rfam family: Bacterial small subunit ribosomal RNA
Source: RNAcentral